GUGAGGAAUUUUCCGCAAUGGGCGAAAGCCUGACGGAGCAAUGCCGCGUGAAGGAUGAAGGCCUAUGGGUUGUAAACUUCUUUUCUCAGAAAAGAAUUAUGACGGUAUCUGAGGAAUAAGCAUCGGCUAACUCUGUGCCAGCAGCCGCGGUAAGACAGAGGAUGCAAGCGUUAUCCGGAAUGAUUGGCGUAAAGCGUCUGUAGGUUGUUUAAAAAGUAUUCUGUCAAAGAUUAGGGCUUAACCCUAGAUAGGCAGAAUAAACUUUUAAGCUAGAGUUUGGUAGAGGCAGAGGGAAUUCCCGGUGGAGCGGUGAAAUGCGUAGAUAUCGGGAGGAACACCAAAGGCGAAGGCACUCUGCUGGGCCAAUACUAACACUGAGAGACGAAAGCGAGGGGAGCAAAUGGGAUUAGAAACCCGUGUAGUCC
This 425-nucleotide ribosomal RNA is filed under the name uncultured bacterium. RNAcentral's name for it is "partial 16S ribosomal RNA". It matches the Rfam family "Bacterial small subunit ribosomal RNA", at positions 354 to 796 of the family's 1533-position model. The record is from RNAcentral.